UACGGAGGGUGCAAGCGUUAUCCGGAUUUACUGGGUUUAAAGGGUGUGUAGGCGGGCUUUUAAGUCAGUGGUGAAAUCUCCGGGCUCAACCUGGAAACUGCCAUUGAUACUAUUAGUCUUGAAUUUUGUUGAGGUAGGCGGAAUAAGUCAUGUAGCGGUGAAAUGCAUAGAUAUGACUUAGAACACCAAUUGCGAAGGCAGCUUGCUAAACAAAUAUUGACGCUGAGGCAUGAAAGCGUGGGGAUCAAACAGG
This 253-nucleotide ribosomal RNA is filed under the name uncultured bacterium. Its description in RNAcentral is "partial 16S ribosomal RNA". It matches the Rfam family "Bacterial small subunit ribosomal RNA", at positions 524 to 776 of the family's 1533-position model. The record is from RNAcentral.